CCAGUGAUGUCAAGCGAAUUCACUGCCGGAAAAGUUGAAAUUGAUGCUCUAACACAAUGCCAAAAAAGUUAAAAUCGAAGAAACUUGUAUUGUUGCCGGGAGAAGACGAUUCUUGUAGUCGGCGCCGGAAGAGACAAUAAAGGUAUUAUUUUUGCCGCACCGGGAUGGAAUGAGCGUGAUCGAAAUAAAGAGGAAGGUUGGAGUUGAGUGGUCUCUUCUCCUCUCUCGUUCGUUCAAUUUUCCAAUUUUCCAUCUCCUAAUAAAAUACUCUCUCUUGUUCAUGCAGUUCAAACAAAUACACCCUCGAAAAUUGGAGCGCCAAACAGGAAACCCACUCCACCUCCCUCUUCUGUUUUUGUAUAUAGAUUUUUUUUUUUGGUUCUGUUCUUCUAUAAAUCAAUGGUGUUAGGAAAACCCUAGCUCUCCGUCUUUUCAAUGUAACCAAAAUCUCCUCCCCAAAUCUAGUACUAACACACUCCCGUCUCUUCUCCGUCGUUUGAAAACAUUAUCCCCACAAAUCCCGCCACCCCAACCUUCCGACGCGAUUUCCUCACCUCAACGGAUUCCUGCGAGAAUGGCUUUCCUUCAUAAGAGGUCAACCAGCAAUGUCGUCGGAGCUUCGUGCCAAUCGGAGAUAAGUUAAUGGAGAAGUUGAGAGGAAUGGGCGUAAACAAAGACCGUCUUCGAUUAGACAGUUUGAUUCUUCCAGUGACGUAGACGGAACCUAGGGAUGGGAUUUUGGUCGAAGACACGCGUAAAUUGCUUAGGCUAUCGCAGUUGCAAAAUGUUAAAGUUGAAAUUGAGACAAUCCUAAAGAGUUCUAUUCCAUAUUCGGAAUUUGUUCAGAUCUGUAUGAAAGGUUGCUCCAAUUGCGAUCAAGGUUUGGAGUUAGCGAAGAUGUUGGAUCAAUCUGGGACCAUUAUUGUUCUAGGUGAUUGCGUCUUCCUCCGGCCUGAAGAGGGUCCGCUGUAGGAAGUGAAGAGACUUCGAGAUGAAUUGUAUAACAAGAAGACAGCGAGGCAGCAGCGCGUGUUGGCAUCUUGGAUUUUGUUGAAGAUGUGACAUUAGAGCGAGUAUGUAGAUGGCCGAAGUGAUCGUCUAAUUCAAUGGUCGGAGAGUUUGGGCUUUGUUUCAAGAAGACAUUUUCAAAAGUCUUAAAAUGCAUGGGAGGUCACGUGACAUAUAUAACUGAUGGUCCUUUAACAAUAAGUACUAGAUUGUGCAUUUUAGAAAUU
Nelumbo nucifera (sacred lotus) is the source of this 1235-nucleotide RNA transcript. It is a transcript of the gene named calcium uniporter protein 3, mitochondrial-like, with no coding region annotated. The record is from RefSeq and is a predicted model, not a curated record. NCBI's taxonomy places the organism in Eukaryota, Viridiplantae, Streptophyta, Magnoliopsida, Proteales, Nelumbonaceae.